UGGGGAAUAUUGGACAAUGGGCGAAAGCCUGAUCCAGCCAUGCCGCGUGUGUGAAGAAGGUCUUCGGAUUGUAAAGCACUUUAAGUUGGGAGGAAGGGCAUUAACCUAAUACGUUAGUGUUUUGACGUUACCGACAGAAUAAGCACCGGCUAACUCUGUGCCAGCAGCCGCGGUAAUACAGAGGGUGCAAGCGUUAAUCGGAAUUACUGGGCGUAAAGCGCGCGUAGGGGGUUUGUUAAGUUGGAUGUGAAAUCCCCGGGCUCAACCUGGGAACUGCAUUCAAAACUGACUGACUAGAGUAUGGUAGAGGGUGGUGGAAUUUCCGGUGUAGCGGUGAAAUGCGUAGAUAUAGGAAGGAACACCAGUGGCGAAGGCGACCACCUGGACUAAUACUGACACUGAGGUGCGAAAGCGUGGGGAGCAAACA
This 427-nucleotide ribosomal RNA is filed under the name uncultured bacterium. RNAcentral's name for it is "partial 16S ribosomal RNA". It matches the Rfam family "Bacterial small subunit ribosomal RNA", at positions 355 to 774 of the family's 1533-position model. The record is from RNAcentral.